CUUGUAUAAACUGUUCCUAAGUGUAAUCUCGUAAAGCUUUUUCAUUUAUCCACCAAUUUUUAGCAUCACCUUCUAACAAGAAACUUGCAAUCCUAGCUUUCCCCUCAUCAUCACACUGUAUACCCUCAUCUAGAAUCUUUUCAAUCUCAGCUAACCAAGACAAAGCUACUAUAAAAUCAAUGGCACCACCAAAAUUCACCAUGUUAUACAAG
This 212-nucleotide unclassified non-coding RNA is filed under the name Hevea brasiliensis (rubber tree). Lineage: Eukaryota; Viridiplantae; Streptophyta; Magnoliopsida; Malpighiales; Euphorbiaceae. The record is from RNAcentral.